AAAGAUGAUUCUCUGUGACAUAUACACUGGGAAUGUCUUUGAGUUUCCUCAUUAUAUUUAAUAUCUUUUCAGAUCCUCGACACACUGAUUCUCCUUUUCCAUCCUGCGUCUGAUGUUUAUGAACUUCUGUGGAAGCUUAUUCUUCUUGCUGCCUCCUGGGGAGUUUCUAUUUUUCUCUUGUUCGUCUGGAGGACCGUCCUUGCUGUAAAGCCUCCAGUGUGUCAAGUUACUUUAAAGCAGAUGACUGAGCAGAGCAAGAAUUUGGAGAAUGAAAACAGAGAACUUGCAGAAAAUAUAUCUGCUUGGGUGCAGAAGACCAACAACGCAAAGAAAUGCUUAGAGGAGGCCAUCAGGCAAAA
Long non-coding RNA from Camelus dromedarius (Arabian camel), 359 nucleotides. RefSeq lists it as uncharacterized. NCBI's taxonomy places the organism in Eukaryota, Metazoa, Chordata, Mammalia, Artiodactyla, Camelidae. The record is from RefSeq and is a predicted model, not a curated record. The transcript is spliced from 4 exons.